ACUAUUAGGCAUAAAGUAUGACUAAAUCAACAGACAAUACCAGAAACUUCUUGACAACUGCCAGGCUCUGAGGACUGAACAGUAAGAGAACUCAGUCACUUCAGCCCUUGAGUGUCACUGCCACUGCAGAAGAACUAAGAGACAAGCUCCUGGCUGGACACUGCCCUAGAAAAGUCUGUUUGCUGGUGAAGGGACAGCUCACUUUCCAGGACAAACUUCUUGCCACAUUUAUCACAGAUCUGCAUGCGCCUGUGAGUAACGUUCAUGUGCUUCUCCAGGUACCAGCGGGUGUUAAACACCCUGGGGCACUUCUCACAGUAUGCACAUCAGACACUGCCCUUGGCUCCCUGAAAUAUGGCUGCUCCUGUGUCUCAUGGAGAUGCGGUUUGCUCGUCUUGGUGUCUGCUAGCACAGAGUAAGGGCUCCCAGACUCCCUUUUAUACACUUUGGUGGACAGGUCGAGCUCCUGGCUGGCACCAUGGUAGAAGAGAACUAACUACUCAAGAAGUGAAAAUAAGAAACUCCUGGAGCCGGCAUGCAGUUCUUCCUGUGUCACAGCACCAACAACACCUUAAGUCAAACAGGGCUUUUCUUAAGGCAAGAGCAGAACACUCCUGAUCUUCUUUCGAAGAGAGCUACAAGGGACUUGGAGCAGUUUGUCUAUAAAGAGAAAAAAAAAUGAGGGAAAAAAAUUAUACCAUUUUCUUCUUAGGCCACAAAAUUUCUCACAACACAUAAAAUGUAAAAUCAUUAUACUCCAUACACUUUGAUUCAUUAUGCACCUCAAAUGGUUUGAAAUGGAUAUUAUUUUACAGGCUUGUAUGAGUCCCCAAUUUCAGUUAGACUGUAAAUUCUAUCAUGCCAAGAGCCACAUCUGUCAAAUUCACCAAUAUAUCUUUAGAGCAUAUAAUAGUCCUAGCAUACAGCAUAUGUUUGAUGAAUAAAUACCUCCUAUUA
Molecule: long non-coding RNA, 957 nt
Organism: Mastomys coucha (southern multimammate mouse)
Lineage: Eukaryota; Metazoa; Chordata; Mammalia; Rodentia; Muridae
Exons: 4
Source: RefSeq, a predicted model, not a curated record